This 478-nucleotide ribosomal RNA is filed under the name uncultured bacterium. RNAcentral's name for it is "partial 16S ribosomal RNA". It matches the Rfam family "Bacterial small subunit ribosomal RNA", at positions 28 to 523 of the family's 1533-position model. The record is from RNAcentral.
GACGAACGCUGGCGGCGUGCUUAACACAUGCAAGUCGAACGGUAAGGCCCUUCGGGGUACACGAGUGGCGAACGGGUGAGUAACACGUGGGUGAUCUGCCCUGCACUUCGGGAUAAGCCUGGGAAACUGGGUCUAAUACCGGAUAGGACCACUGCCUGCAUGGGUGGUGGUGGAAAGCUUUUGCGGUGUGGGAUGGGCCCGCGGCCUAUCAGCUUGUUGGUGGGGUGAUGGCCUACCAAGGCGACGACGGGUAGCCGGCCUGGGAGGGUGACCGGGCACAGUGGGACUGCGAUACGGCCCAGACUCCUACGGGAGGCAGCAGUGGGGGAUAUUGCACAAUGGGCGCAAGCCUGAUGCAGCGACGCCGCGUGAGGGAUGACGGCCUUCGGGUUGUAAACCUCUUUCAGCACCGACGAAGCGCAAGUGACGGUAGGUGCAGAAGAAGGACCGGCCAACUACGUGCCAGCCGCCGCGGUAA